Molecule: unclassified non-coding RNA, 433 nt
Filed under: soil metagenome
Description: partial contains 5.8S ribosomal RNA, internal transcribed spacer 2, and large subunit ribosomal RNA
Rfam family: 5.8S ribosomal RNA (bases 1-120)
Source: RNAcentral
GAUGAAGAACGCAGCGAAAUGCGAUACGUAAUGUGAAUUGCAGAAUUCAGUGAAUCAUCGAAUCUUUGAACGCAUAUUGCACUCUCUGGUAUUCCGGAGAGCAUGCUUGUUUGAGUAUCAGUAAACACCUCAACUUCCAUAUCUUUUUUGAAAUGGGAGUUGGACUUGAGUGAUCCCAACGCUUUUCCUCACCGAAAAGUGGCGGGUUACUUGAAAUGCAGGUGCAGCUGGACUUUUCUCUGAGCUAUAAGCAUAUCUAUUUAGUCUGCCUAAAAAACAGAUUAUUACCUUUGCUGCAGCUAACAUAAAGGAGAUUAGUUCUUGUGCUGACUGAUGCAGGAUUCACAAAGACAGGCUUCGGCCGACUUUGUAAACUCGAUCUCAAAUCAAGUAAGACUACCCGCUGAACUUAAGCAUAUCAAUAAGCGGAGGA